CCAAUAGCGUAUAUUAAAGUUGUUGCAGUUAAAAAGCUCGUAGUUGAAUUUCGGGGUUAGUAGGUCGGUCAUGCCACUGGUAUGUACUGGUCUCACUGAUUCCUCCUUCCUGAUGAACCGUAAUGCCAUUAAUUUGGUGUUGCGGGGAGACUGGACUGUUACUUUGAAAAAAUUAGAGUGUUUAAAGCAGGCUAACGCUUGAAUACAUUAGCAUGGAAUAAUGAAAUAGGACGUUCGAUCCUAUUUUGUUGGUUUCUAGGAUUGACGUAAUGAUUAAUAGGGAUAGUUGGGGGCAUUAGUAUUCAAUUGUCAGAGGUGAAAUUCUUGGAUUUAUUGAAGACUAACUACUGCGAAAGCAUUUGCCAAGGAUGUUUUCAUUAAUCAAGAACGAAAGUUAGGGGAUCGAAGACGAUCAGAUACCGUCGUAGUCUUAACCAUAAACUAUGCCGACUAGGGAUCGGAUGAUGUUAAUUUUUUAAUGACUCAUUCGGCGCCUUAC
Molecule: ribosomal RNA, 499 nt
Filed under: uncultured Glomeromycotina
Lineage: Eukaryota; Fungi; Glomeromycota
Description: partial small subunit ribosomal RNA
Rfam family: Eukaryotic small subunit ribosomal RNA
Source: RNAcentral